GAUGAACGCUGGCGGCGUACCUAAUACAUGCAAGUCGAGCGAACAGACGAGGAGCUUGCUCCUCUGACGUUAGCGGCGGACGGGUGAGUAACACGUGGAUAACCUACCUAUAAGACUGGGAUAACUUCGGGAAACCGGAGCUAAUACCGGAUAAUAUAUUGAACCGCAUGGUUCAAUAGUGAAAGACGGUUUUGCUGUCACUUAUAGAUGGAUCCGCGCCGCAUUAGCUAGUUGGUAAGGUAACGGCUUACCAAGGCGACGAUGCGUAGCCGACCUGAGAGGGUGAUCAGCCACACUGGAACUGAGACACGGUCCAGACUCCUACGGGAGGCAGCAGUAGGGAAUCUUCCGCAAUGGGCGAAAGCCUGACGGAGCAACGCCGCGUGAGUGAUGAAGGUCUUCGGAUCGUAAAACUCUGUUAUUAGGGAAGAACAAAUGUGUAAGUAACUAUGCACGUCUUGACGGUACCUAAUCAGAAAGCCACGGCUAACUACGUG
RNAcentral lists this ribosomal RNA (497 nucleotides) under uncultured bacterium. RNAcentral describes it as "partial 16S ribosomal RNA". It matches the Rfam family "Bacterial small subunit ribosomal RNA", at positions 28 to 507 of the family's 1533-position model. The record is from RNAcentral.